Helianthus annuus (common sunflower) is the source of this 3057-nucleotide long non-coding RNA. RefSeq lists it as uncharacterized. The transcript is spliced from 3 exons. Lineage: Eukaryota; Viridiplantae; Streptophyta; Magnoliopsida; Asterales; Asteraceae. The record is from RefSeq and is a predicted model, not a curated record.
GGGGUGGUGGUGGUGGCUGACAGUGGUGAUUGUUGAUGGUGAUGGUGGCGGAUGACGGUGGUAGUGGUUGUUGAUGGUGGUGGUGGGUGGUUGUUGAUGAUGGUGAAAGUUAUAUUAUACAAACAUUAAUACCCUAUGUGCUACCAAUUUCCUUUCUAUAAUUUAAAACUUUAAUUUGAUUUUUAUACUAUAUAUAAUAUACACUUUUAAUAUUACAAAAAUCGUCGUUUAUGUUGAUAGCAGAUUGCAAAGUGUGUCCUUUGUCUUCAAAAAGUACAAAAGUGUACUCGAUGUUUGCAAUCCCUUGAACGUUAUGUGCUUUAGCCCGAACUCAGUUAGGUUUAUGGUUAAAUUUGACCAACUGAACCCCGCAUGAAGGUAUUUUAGUCAUUUUACAUUAUUUACACAAAUAAAUAAACAUAAACAUUAACAUAUAAAAAACUUAAUACAUAUCUCUCUCUAUAACACAUACACAUACCAUCUCUUUUAACCUCCACCAUCAGCCACCACCUACUCACCAUGACCACCACAACCCCCACUCAAUUUAUAAAAUCCUCUAAAAACACAACAUAUUAGCACAAACAAGAUCAUCAAAUUGAAUCGAAACCAUUCAGAUCAACAAAAACAUGCAGAUCAAUCCGUACACUCAAAAAACACUAACAAUUUCAACAUAAAACAAAAUCAGAAAUGAAGAAAUUAUAUCUGGAACAACCCCACUCCUCAUCUUCUUCACAAAACUUGUCAGUGGUUAUAUAACAGCAGUGAACGACAACCAUAAUGGGUAGCAAUGGGAAAAUGGAGUUUCGACAAAUCAGAUCCGGCAGUGUGGAACGACGGAUUUUAGGGUUUCGACGAUGACGACGACUUUUAGGGUUUUGACGACGACGGAGCUAUGUAAUGACGACGAGUUGGUGAUGUGAUGGUGGUGGUACUGUGGCGGUGGUGGUGCAAUGGCAGUGGUGGUGCUGUGGUGGAGGAGCUAUGGGCGGUGGUGAUGUGAUGGCGGUGGUGCGAUGCAAGUGGUGGUGCGAUGGCGAAGGAGCUUUGGGCGUUGGUGAUGUGAUGACAGUGGUUGUGCCAUGGCGGAAUUCUAGAGAGAGAGAGAGAGUAGAGGAAGGAGAGUGAGUUUUGGGAGAGAUGGGGAUAGAGGUGUUUUUUAUUAUUUAUUUAAGUGUUUUGGGUAAAAUGACCAAAAUACCCUCAUGUGGGACUCACUUGGUCAGACUUAACCAUGAAAGCCAACUGAGUUAGGGCUAAAGGAUAUAACGUGCAAGGGUUUGCAAACAUCGAGUACGUUUUUUGUACUUUUAAAAGACAAAUGACUCACUUUGCAAUCUGGUGUCAACAUAAAGGAUGAUUUUUGUAAUUUACACUAUCUUGAUUUCACUAUGUUAACUUUUGUUAGUUAACUUUUGCUAGUUAACUUUUAUAAAACUAAUACACCAUUGUGUAUAUAUUUUUAUAUGAAAAUUCAGGUAUAAGUUUUUUUUUUUUUUUGAAAACACAGUUUAGUUCAAAUAGAGUACAUUCUUUAUCUCAUAAGCUAUAUCAAGUACCAUACCAUAUUGGCGCCAUUACAAACUACAAACUGAACAAAAUCAGUAUCAGUUCAAGUAUUAUGGGGACUUGUAUCAGUAGUAUUAGUAUUAUUGGAACCUAUGUCGACAUCCCUGUUCAUAGCUUUCAAGCGCUAUAAAAUAUAAGUUAAUUUUUUGGGUUACAUAAGACAAUAUUUUUUUGUAAUGAAACCAUUGUGAUCUUUCUCUUAUAACAUAAAUUACUAAGAGUACCGAUGCCAUAACGAAUCAAAGCUUUACUGAUUGAUAACAUCCUUACUAGUAUCAACAUUAUCGGGAGUGGUAUCAAGAUUAUCGGAACUGAUAUAGGAAGCUUGGCUUAAUGAAAAGAAGAAUUAGAAACAAACCAAAGGUUGAGGGUUCAAUUGUGAAGGAACAUCUAGUGAAUGAAAUUGCCACCUAUUGUUCUCUAUACUUUGACUCAACGAUUGAGACACGCCAUAAUCGAGAGCCACGAAAUUUCGCACCGCAACAUCUCAGCUCUUUGAGUGGAGGCUCUAAACUAAGCGUAUUUGUCGAUCUAUCGAGACGAUUACAUCAAAAGGGUGGAACACGAAGGCAUAUGAGUAAUGAAGAACUUUAAAAGGUGCACACAUAUGUUCUUCUAAAUUGUGUAGAAUUUUACCCUUAUAUCAACAAAUUUGAUGAAGUGGCACCACAACUAUAUCCGGACGAACCAGAAUUCCUUGUUAGAGAUUACCUUUUUGCUAAAUGGUUUGAAAAUCACGUAAUGAACAAUUUAAUUGAUGGAAGCACUCGACAUUUGGAAAUUUAGCAAGACAACCAUCAAUGUACGCUCAAUCACACAAUGGGUACUUUGUAAAUGGUUAUAAGUUUCACAUCUAGAAGUAUGGUAAGGGACUUGUGACCUCAAACUGUGGUGUAUGCGUGAGAGGGGAAACGUAUGACGCGGAAGAGUCUGACUAGCACGGAUUAGUGGACGAGAUAUUAGAACUUAAGUAUAAUAGCAAGGAACCUCAAAUUGUGGUAGUGUUUAAAUGUACAUGGUUUGAUAACAACCUGGGUGUAAUAGUUAACAAAAAUAAGCUUGUUGAUGUUAAACACAAGUUUCAUCUUCCAGGUGACGACAAGUUCAUCUUGGCAUCACAGGCAGAACAAGUGUUUUACACUUCAUACCCUGCCGUAACACGUGAUACAAAAGAUCUAUGGCCGGUUGUAAAGACAAAAUCCCGUCACAUUUAUGAUCUCACUACACCUGAAACUGAUAUCACCAAUGAUGGUAACACGACAUCACAUGAUUUUCUUCAAAUUGAUGAACGGCUUGAGUUACCGAAUGCGGUAACUAGGAGUGAUCCCUUAGACCUGGUUACAUUUCAUGAUGAUGAUGGUGGUGAUGGUGAUGGUUGUGAUAACGAUGAUGCAAACGUUUAUUCUGACUACUCUUUAGAUGAAGAUGAACAUGAUUGUUAGGAACAUAAAUUGUUUGUUGUUGUAUACUUGUUAUUAUUUGAGAUUUAUC